CCUACGGGAGGCAGCAGUGAGGGAUAUUGGUCAAUGGGGGAAACCCUGAACCAGCAACGCCGCGUGAGGGAUGACGGUUUUCGGAUUGUAAACCUCUGUCCUCUGUGAAGAUAAUGACGGUAGCAGUGGAGGAAGCUCCGGCUAACUACGUGCCAGCAGCCGCCGUAAUACGUAGGGAGCGAGCGUUGUCCGGAUUUACUGGGUGUAAAGGGUGCGUAGGUGGCCAUGCAAGUCAGAAGUGAAAUCCAUGGGCUUAACCCGUGAACUGCCUUUGAAACUGCAGGACUUGAGUGGAGUAGAGGUAGGCGGAAUGCGCGGUGUAGCGGUGAAAUGCGUAGAGAUCGGGAAGAACACCAGUGGCGAAGGCAGCCUACUGGGCUUUAACUGACGCUGAAGCACGAAAGCGUGGGUAGCAAACAGGAUUAGAUACCCGGGUAGUC
This 440-nucleotide ribosomal RNA is filed under the name uncultured bacterium. RNAcentral describes it as "partial 16S ribosomal RNA". It matches the Rfam family "Bacterial small subunit ribosomal RNA", at positions 338 to 795 of the family's 1533-position model. The record is from RNAcentral.